This is a non-coding RNA of Cordylochernes scorpioides, 116 nucleotides long. The record is from the annotation of a GenBank genome assembly. NCBI's taxonomy places the organism in Eukaryota, Metazoa, Arthropoda, Arachnida, Pseudoscorpiones, Chernetidae.
ACAUCCAUAGUACAUUGAUAACACUGGUUCUCAUCCAGUCACCGAAGUUAAGCAAUAUCAGACCCAGUUAGUACUUGGGAGGGUGACCACCUUUGGAACACCAGGUGCUGUAGGCC